RNAcentral lists this ribosomal RNA (377 nucleotides) under Prostomatea sp. RNAcentral's name for it is "partial small subunit ribosomal RNA". It matches the Rfam family "Eukaryotic small subunit ribosomal RNA", at positions 582 to 975 of the family's 1831-position model. The record is from RNAcentral. Lineage: Eukaryota; Ciliophora; Prostomatea.
AUUCCAGCUCCAAUAGCGUAUAUUAAUGUUGUUGCAGUUAAAAAGCUCGUAGUUGAAUUUCUGGUUAAAAUCUUAGCUGGCUUUGGUCGUUAAUGUUUUAAUCAUCCGUUAGAGAACUAUAACCGUCCUUAACUGGUCAUUAUAGAGAUCUAACAUUUUACUUUGAAAAAAUUAGAGUGUUCAAGGCAGGCAAUCGUCAUGAAUACUAUAGCAUGGAAUAAUGGAAUAGGACUUUGGUUCAUUUUAUUGGUUAUUGAACCUUAGUAAUGAUUAACAGGGACGGUCAGGGGCACUCGUAUUCCGCCGAGAGAGGUGAAAUUCUCAGACCAGCGGAAGACGAACCACUGCGAAAGCAUUUGCCAGGGAUGUUUUCAUUA